RNAcentral lists this ribosomal RNA (449 nucleotides) under uncultured bacterium. Its description in RNAcentral is "partial 16S ribosomal RNA". It matches the Rfam family "Bacterial small subunit ribosomal RNA", at positions 29 to 523 of the family's 1533-position model. The record is from RNAcentral.
AACGAACGCUGGCGGCAUGCCUAACACAUGCAAGUCGAACGAAGGCUUCGGCCUUAGUGGCGCACGGGUGCGUAACGCGUGGGAAUCUGCCCCUCGGUUCGGAAUAACAGUUAGAAAUGACUGCUAAUACCGGAUGAUGACUUCGGUCCAAAGAUUUAUCGCCGAGGGAUGAGCCCGCGUAAGAUUAGGUAGUUGGUGGGGUAAAGGCCUACCAAGCCGACGAUCUUUAGCUGGUCUGAGAGGAUGAUCAGCCACACUGGGACUGAGACACGGCCCAAACUCCUACGGGGGGCAGCAGUGGGGAAUAUUGGACAAUGGGCGAAAGCCUGAUCCAGCAAUGCCGCGUGAGUGAUGAAGGCCUUAGGGUUGUAAAGCUCUUUUACCAGGGAUGAUAAUGACAGUACCUGGAGAAUAAGCUCCGGCUAACUCCGUGCCAGCCGCCGCAGUAA